ACACCAAGCCAAGUCACAUAAACGUUUCCUGUCACUUGUGUAUUUGUUUGUUUCUUUGUUUGUCUCUCUAUCAAAAAAGAUAAGAUAAACAAAUAUGCAGGCGCACUGAGACUGUAUAAAUCACUCCUAAUAUGCUAGCUGGCAUUGUGAAACAGCUGCUUAAGCAGACUAGCAUGCUAACAGGCUAAGCGUUAGGUUAAUGAUUUGCUUACCUAAUCAUCUUUUUUUUUUUUUUUUUAGGUAGAUUAGAUAAAGGUCGAUAGCGCAAACAGCCAAGCAGACGAGAGAACAUGACAUCGCUUAAAUUUUGCGCAAACAUCUCCUGGUUGUUCACGGAGCUGCCCGAGUUGAGUGAGAGACUGCGAGCAGCUGCGUGUGCAGGUUUCCAGGCUGUGGAGGCGGCUUGGCUGUACGGCUCUGACCUGAGAGAGCUGCAGAAAGUCAGAGAGGAAACUGGACUGCAGGUGGCUCUUAUUAACACUCCCCCGGGUGAUGUCAAGAAUGGUGAGCUGGGCCUGGGUGCUGUGCCUGGGAGAGAGCAGGAUUUCAGACAGGGUUUGGCUCAGGCUGUACAGUAUGCUAAAGCACUGGACUGCAAGAGGAUCCAUGUGAUGGCAGGGCGGGUACCGGCAGGGGCACAGCUGUCUGAGGUUGGUGUGGAAAUGGAAACCACCUUUGUGCAGAACCUGAAACAUGCUGCUGAUAUUCUAUCAAAGGAGGGCAUUAUGGGAUUGAUUGAGCCUAUCAACACAAGGAUAACUGACCCUCAAUACUUCCUGGACUCGCCACAUCAGGCAGCUGCAGUCCUUCAGAAAGUUGACCAUCCAAACAUGAAACUACAGAUGGACAUUUUCCACUGGCAGAUAAUGGACGGGAACCUGACGCAGAACAUCCGGAGAUAUUUCCCCUUAAUAGGUCACAUCCAGGUUGCUCAAGUUCCUGAUCGCCAUGAACCCGAUAGUCCUGGAGAGAUCAACUUCCCCUACAUCUUUAAGCUGCUGGAGGAACUGGGCUACCAGGGAUAUGUGGGUUGUGAAUACAAACCUCUGGAUUCUACAGCAAAUGGCCUGGGUUGGCUGAAAAAAUACCAGGAGAGUAAACACUGACAGUCACAUGUGUAAAAUCACAUCCUGUUCACUACAUAGUGCAGUGAUUUUGUACACAUCUGUAAUACUCACUCAUGAAAUCAACAAAGCACCACAAGAAGUAGCUUCCAAACGAUGUUAUUAUAAUUGAUAUGGAAGAUCAAUAAUGACUAUCCAAACUGUGGACCUUUGACAACAUUUAUUUAGAUAGGGUCCGUGUAAUAAAAUGCUUGAACACAUCCGCAAUGAUCUGAUGAUGGUGAAACUAAAGCUCCUGACAAAAUUAUAGAUGAUUGAUUUUAUUAAAAAAGGUCAAUCGAAUCACAUUGUCACUGUGCACUGUUGAGGUGUUGUCUCACCAAAACACUAACUCCCUGACUUGCUGACACUACAGCAACCAUUUUACUAAAUUAGAAAUCAGUUACUGAGUCUGCUGUAGUCCACCUUGUGGCCUAUAUAGUUUAUAGAGUGUGGUUUGGGACCAGUCCCAUGUUUCAGCCUUAUUAGAAUAUAAUAGAGCCGUUUCUGUCAGCUACCUGCUGUCAGCAACAUUUAAUCUAGGAGGAAAUCUCUAACUCCCAUAUACUGUACAGGGAGAUUUAGGACGUAUCGCCUGCUUCGCAGAAACUAAGGAUAGAAAAUGUAAGCACAUUUUCAGAAAUUGGGGCAGUAAUUACACAGCUUUACUGAUAGGACUGUUUGGAUGGACUCUUUUAGAAGUUUAGGGUGCUUUGUUGAGGAUUGACUGUACACCAAUACAUACUUGAGAGAGAUUCUAUGAUGAAAUUGCUAUGAUGUCGAAGUUGUAAAUUUCACAAUCUGGUAUUUUGUUAGGAAAAGGACAGUAGGUGCACAUGGCAAGAGUGUUGUGGUGGAUUUUUAAAAACCAUGUACACUUUAUUAAACACACUUACCUUGUUAGUCCAUAUCUUUGUCCAGCACAGUGUGUAUAAAUCGUGUAAAAUCACACUGUGCAUCAGUGUGAUUUUUCCCAACCAUAGGAUGCUGUUGACUUGAAAAGUUAUUAAAUCUUAUGAAUUUUAAGGUCAUCUUAUCUAUCAAUAUGUUGUAUUUUAAUUAUCAAGUCUUAAAUUUGAGCCUAUGGUUUAACAUCUUGUUCGAUCUGUAGUCGCAAAUGAUCUUUUGAGAUUUUUCUGGUUUCACAUUUUACAUUUUCUGUUUUUAACGUACUGAUCCCUGGGUUUACUUAACGUUUGCAUAACGUUGUAAGAGAAGGCAAGCAGACAAGAAACUUGGAGUAAAAAUGUCCACAUUUUACUCGUCACAGUGUUAUUUUUCCCUUUUGUUCAGGUCUAAAAGUAUUAAAAAGCAUUUGUAAAAAUUAUAUUUUAAAAACCAGGUCACACACACGUUACCAUGUCAUCGGCACUACUUUGCCGAGAAUCCUCCACCACCCGGUCAUCUUUGUCUGUCUAAAGGGACGAUGAUCAAUACAGUAACUGUACACCUACAAAGAGACCCAAGUAUAUGGCAACUCUACGUGGUGUAUUCUUAAUCCAGGAUUCAGUGAUUCAGCGUGCCCACCUCCAUCAGCGUCCUACAGCAGACCCGUCCACAGGUUGUAGCAGGCUGUGUUGAUCACAGACUCAAGGUGGUGGUACAUGGAGACGAGCUGCGGAGGAGGACUGCUGCUCGGCUGUGCCUGGGACGGCAACGGCUCCCUAAAGACAACUUUCAAGCUCUGUAGGGAGCAGGAGGAUGGAGAACAGGAAUCUGAACUCAUAAAUAUGCCUUGUCACUUUUGCUCACAAAAUGGAAAUGAAUAAACAUCCUAAGGACACUAUUUGAAUAGCUCACCGUUUUUCCUGCCUGGGAAUCCAGGAAGACAAGCACGAAGCAAUCAGUGAACUUCUGGUUAAGGACAGCCUGGAAAAGAAUGACAACAUUUAAAAUAGUAAUGUUUCAAUUUCCCAAAGCUUUUCAGUUAAAUUGCACUCUUGUCUGCAUGACCCAUUUAGGGUCAGCUACUGUAGCAUUAAAGCAUUGCACAUGCACUGUUUGUUUGGAAAGUAUGGGAGGAAAAAAAAAUCCAGCAUUUCCAAGUCCUUUCUUUUGAUCUGGAGUCUCUCAUUUAGAGAAUUAUGCAGAAACGAACCUCCUGACAGUCCAGAGCUGCCGACAAUUAUUCCAUGUUAAAUUCCUUCUAAUCCCUUCUAAGACUUUAAUUUAACGUUUUAAAAGGCACGCAAGUGUCACUGCAAACCACAAAGGUCUGAAAAUGUGAAAUAGAUGAGCCUCCUUCUAACAGAGAGUAAGUGUGACAAGCUCAGUUUAAUUUAGAAAAUUUCAAGGUGACUCAAGACUUCAUGCUGAUGUAUGAUUUCAUGCUAAUUUGUUGCAUAAAUUAAAAAAAAUAAAAAAAAAUCAGAUGAAAAGAAAAUCCCAGGAUAUAAUUAAAACACAAAAGGUAAUUGGGAUAAAAUGUGGAUAUGUAAUUGCAAAGAAGUGGAUAUUAUAAAAGAGUUUCUGUUGCCUAAAUGCUCAUAACCAAAGUUAUUUGAAUGUAAAUUGUGUUUUUCUGAUCACAGAUUUCUGCCAGGUGACUCGCACAACUGGAGGCAAGCGUUUAUAAUUGUUUUGUUUUUUUGUUAAACUUACUUAUGAUGUCAGAUCAGAGCAGAUUGUGCUAUGAUACACUUCCACAAACGUGUUGUGUUGUGAAAAGAUCACUUUGACAGAUCCCUGUUCUUUAAAUAAAACAGGGUGGUCAUUCACACCUCAUCCCAUUGAUUGAAAUCAUCUGACUCUACUGCUAGAGGUUCACAUACUUUUUCCACUCACAGAUAUGUAAUAUUGGAUCAUUUUCCUCAAUAAAUAAAUGACCAAAUGUAA
RNA transcript from Ictalurus punctatus (channel catfish), 3938 nucleotides. It is a transcript of the gene named hydroxypyruvate isomerase, with no coding region annotated. The transcript has 9 exons. NCBI's taxonomy places the organism in Eukaryota, Metazoa, Chordata, Actinopteri, Siluriformes, Ictaluridae. The record is from RefSeq and is a predicted model, not a curated record.